RNAcentral lists this ribosomal RNA (460 nucleotides) under uncultured bacterium. Its description in RNAcentral is "partial 16S ribosomal RNA". It matches the Rfam family "Bacterial small subunit ribosomal RNA", at positions 338 to 795 of the family's 1533-position model. The record is from RNAcentral.
CCUACGGGCGGCAGCAGUGAGGAAUAUUGGUCAAUGGACGGAAGUCUGAACCAGCCAUGCCGCGUGCAGGAAGACGGCUCUAUGAGUUGUAAACUGCUUUUGUACAAGGGUAAACCUGAAUACGUGUAUUCAGCUGAAAGUACUGUACGAAUAAGGAUCGGCUAACUCCGUGCCAGCAGCCGCGGUAAUACGGAGGAUCCAAGCGUUAUCCGGAUUUAUUGGGUUUAAAGGGUGCGUAGGCGGAUUGAUAAGUUAGAGGUGAAAUGUCCGCGCUUAACUCGGGAACUGCCUCUCAUACUGUUGCUCUAGUGUGUAGCUGCGGUAGGCGGAAUGUAUGGUGUAGCGGUGAACUGCUUCGAGAUCAUACAGAACACCGAUUGCGAAGGCAGCUUACCAUUCUAUAUCUGACGUUGAGGCACGAAAGCGUGGGGAGCAAACAGGAUUAGAUACCCCGGUAGUC